Molecule: ribosomal RNA, 255 nt
Filed under: uncultured bacterium
Lineage: Bacteria
Description: partial 16S ribosomal RNA
Rfam family: Bacterial small subunit ribosomal RNA
Source: RNAcentral
UACGUAGGGACCGAGCGUUGUCCGGAAUCAUUGGGCGUAAAGAGCGUGUAGGCGGCCAACUAAGUCCUGCGUGAAAUCUCGGGGCUCAACCCCCGAGCGGUCGUGGGAAACUGGUUGGCUAGAGUGCGGGAGAGGAGAGUGGAAUUCCUGGUGUAGCGGUGAAAUGCGCAGAUAUCAGGAAGAACACCCGUGGCGAAGGCGGCUCUCUGGAACGCAACUGACGCUGAGACGCGAAAAGCGUGGGGAGCAAACAGG